This 276-nucleotide long non-coding RNA is filed under the name Sorghum bicolor (sorghum). RNAcentral describes it as "long non-coding RNA (SBIC_LNC007958)". Lineage: Eukaryota; Viridiplantae; Streptophyta; Magnoliopsida; Poales; Poaceae. The record is from RNAcentral.
GGUGCUGCCAUGGGUGAAAGGGAGAGAUGAGGGAGGCACAGAGGUAGAGAGAGGCAUCGACUUUGGGUUAAGAGAGCACUGGGGAGGGAGAGGGUGUGGGGAAUAGGGAGGGGUGUGGGAGCGAGAGGGUGAGGAGGAGUCAGAGGGAGAGCACCACUCUUAGUCUCGGUUGACGAGGCUGGGGGAUGGAGAGGAAGAACUUCCUCUAUUUAUAUGAAGAUGGCUAUUAGGACUCACCUGGGCCUGUUGGGCCUCACCUUUAUAGAGACGGGCUUU